UAAGACGGAGGGCGCAAGCGUUGUUCGGAUUUACUGGGCGUAAAGGGCAGGUAGGUGGUCUGUUAAGUCUUCUGUGAAAAUCCGGGGCUCAACCCCGCGAAAUGCAGGUGAAACUGGCAGACUGGAGACCGGUAGAGGCUAGCGGAAUUCCUGGUGUAGCGGUGGAAUGCGUAGAUGUCAGGAAGAACACCUGUGGCGAAGGCGGCUAGCUGGGCCGGUUCUGACACUAAACUGCGAAAGCGUGGGGAGCAAACAGGAUUAGAUACCCUGGUAGUCCACGCCGUAAACGAUGGGCACUAGAUGCCGGGCAUAUAGACGUGUUCGGUGUCGUCGCUAACGCAAUAAGUGCCCCGCCUGGGGAGUACGGUCGCAAGGCUG
Molecule: ribosomal RNA, 378 nt
Filed under: uncultured Gemmatimonadota bacterium
Lineage: Bacteria; Pseudomonadati; Gemmatimonadota
Description: bacterial SSU rRNA
Rfam family: Bacterial small subunit ribosomal RNA
Source: RNAcentral